This 574-nucleotide ribosomal RNA is filed under the name Triticum aestivum (bread wheat). RNAcentral describes it as "partial small subunit ribosomal RNA". The record is from RNAcentral. Lineage: Eukaryota; Viridiplantae; Streptophyta; Magnoliopsida; Poales; Poaceae.
AUGAAGACCUUUCUCAUCCUUGCCCUCCUUGCUAUCGUGGAGACCACCACCACAACUGCAGUUAGAGUUCCAGUGCCACAAUUGCAGCCACAAAAUCCAUCUCAGCAACAACCACAAGAGCAAGUUCCAUUGGUGCAACAACAACAAUUUCUAGGGCAGUAACAACAACAAUUUCCAGGGCAACAACAACCAUUUCCACCAUAACAGCCAUAUCCGCAGCCGCAACCAUUUCUGCCACAACUACCAUAUCCGCAGCCGCAACCAUUUCCACCACAACAAUCAUAUCCACAACCACAACCACAAUAUCCGCAACCACAACAACCAAUUUCGCAGCAACAAGCACAACAACAACAACAACAACAACAACAACAACAAAUCCUUCAACAAAUUCUGCAACAACAACUGAUUCCAUGCAGGGAUGUCGUCUUGCAACAACCCAACAUAGCACAUGCAAGCUCACAAGUAUUGCAACAAAGUUACCAACUGUUGCAACAAUUAUGUUGUCAGCAACUGUGGCAGACCCCCGAGCAGUCACGGUGCCAAGCCAUCCACAAUGUCAUUCAUGCUAUUAUUU